CAGAGUUUUCUAAACUCCCAAACCUUUGUGAACUUACCACUGUUGCCUCGGCGGAAGCUAUUGGGGUUACCCUGUAGCGACCGCCGGUGGACCAACCCAACUCUUGUAAUUUUGAGAAAUCUGAGAGUCUUAUAUAAAUAAGUCA
Molecule: unclassified non-coding RNA, 145 nt
Filed under: uncultured Dicyma
Lineage: Eukaryota; Fungi; Ascomycota; Sordariomycetes; Xylariales
Description: sequence contains ITS1
Source: RNAcentral